ACCCAGACGAUCAUUUACGUUAGGUUCGAAACUGCAAAUCACAAUUCUGUUAAUGAAGAAGUACAAGUCCUGGGCGGAAAAAGAGUCGCAGUCAGCGGCUCCUCCAAGAACUUCGUCUUUCUACAUAGAAACGUUUGGUGAAUUUUCAUCUGGUAGUAGCUCAAAUAGCAUUGAAUGCCACACUAGCCACAGGGUCAUCAAUCUAGGGGUGCAGCAGCUUAAUUAUUGCACCACGCUUAUGAUGUGAGAGAGAAUGGACAGUGAAGAAAAUUCACCCCCAUGUCAACCAGGAAUGUAGACAAAUUUCAGAAGGUCACUGACAGCGAGGAUGAAGUUACAAAUGCAAUUGGAUUUUCAACCUGAGUAGUUUCAUGGUUCACUAUGGAUAUACUCUCUGCCAUAUGGACUCCAUCAUAAAAGAAUAAACUCUUAACUCAAAUGAGGUGGACAAAAAUGAGGAGGUACACCAUGAAAAUGCUGCAGUUAAUUUGAAAGGUACUUUGGUUUAGUGCCCACUUCAAGUUCCCAAUAGUGGUGCUAGUUACAUUAUUUCAGUCCUAUGCCUUAGCAAGCUUAAUCAGAAGUUAACUACUGACUUAAAAUUGUUUAACAUCAACAAUAUGUAAAGUCCUUUCGCAUCUAACAAUGAAAUUUUUCUCAUUGCACUGAGGUUUUCAGAACCAUACGGCUGGUAGCAUCUUCAAUAGUUUUAUUCUUUGUGUGGACAAGAUCUCCUUGUUGAUCGAAGUAGUGUAGUACAUUUUUAUUCAGUGUUCAAUGUAAGUAUAUGAACAGUCUGUCUCCACUUCAAUUCAGGUGUGAAUGUCUUAAAUGUAACAUUCCAUGCCAAUUAGAUUAUAUAUUUCUGAAAUGCUCUCAUCUUUUCAAUGAUCUAGAAAUCCUGUAUUAUUUUGUUAGUAUCACAUAAUUUGUAUAUGAAGAUGUUAUCAAUGGUUCUGGGUACAAACUUCCUGUUCAACAACUUAUCCUAACUUGAAAAGAGUUUCUUUUGCACCUGUAUAUAAGUUUUCUAUGAAAUCAGGAUUCCCAUUUAUAGCCUACCGGUUCUUUCUGGAAUUUUAUAAGAGAAAUAUAUUUCACGCAUUGGUCAUUCGUUGUGCAGGGUAUGUUUCUGCUACUAAAAUAGGUAUCCGUUAAUGACAUUAACGUUGUUAAUGAAUUACUAUCUUAAGUUUCUGAAGUUAAUUAAUCAUGUUGUUGAAAAGCAAAUCAACCCACAGCGGCGGCCUAUGUUUUGCUGCAAAUUUUCUCUAUAUUGAAAAUUGAAAUGAAAUAAACGAAAUAAUUAAGUCAA
This is a long non-coding RNA of Frankliniella occidentalis (western flower thrips), 1315 nucleotides long. RefSeq lists it as uncharacterized. The record is from RefSeq and is a predicted model, not a curated record. Lineage: Eukaryota; Metazoa; Arthropoda; Insecta; Thysanoptera; Thripidae. The transcript is spliced from 5 exons.